CUCUGUACAGACAGAAAGAACCCAGCCAAGGACUAAAUCCAGGAUUUCCAGCUUCUGCAUCCAAGACUGGUGUUAAAAUACCCACACCAUAUUAGGUACGCCAGACCUCUCUAUCACACCAAGAAACAAGCAGCAUGCUGUCACUUUAUGCAGCUGAGUUAUGGAAUAGAAAAUUUCGAGUUCUUGUGUCCAUAGCCAGUAUU
This 203-nucleotide unclassified non-coding RNA is filed under the name Hevea brasiliensis (rubber tree). The record is from RNAcentral. Lineage: Eukaryota; Viridiplantae; Streptophyta; Magnoliopsida; Malpighiales; Euphorbiaceae.